GUGGGUGUAGCUCAGUCCGGUUAGAGCACUUGAUUGUGGUUCAAGAUGCCGGGGGUUCAAAUCCCCUCACUCACCCCA
Molecule: transfer RNA, 78 nt
Filed under: Candidatus Omnitrophota bacterium
Lineage: Bacteria; Pseudomonadati; Candidatus Omnitrophota
Description: tRNA-His
Rfam family: tRNA
About the family: Transfer RNA (tRNA) molecules are approximately 80 nucleotides in length.
Source: RNAcentral